RNAcentral lists this ribosomal RNA (253 nucleotides) under uncultured bacterium. RNAcentral's name for it is "partial 16S ribosomal RNA". It matches the Rfam family "Bacterial small subunit ribosomal RNA", at positions 524 to 776 of the family's 1533-position model. The record is from RNAcentral.
UACGGGGGGGGCAAGCGUUGUUCGGAAUUACUGGGCGUAAAGGGCUCGUAGGCGGCCAACUAAGUCAGACGUGAAAUCCCCAGGCUCAACCUGGGAACUGCGUCUGAUACUGAUUGGCUUGAAUCCGGGAGAGGGAUGCAGAAUUCCAGGUGUAGCGGUGAAAUGCGUAGAUAUCUGGAGGAAUACCGGUGGCGAAGGCGGCAUCCUGGACCGGCAUUGACGCUGAGGAGCGAAAGCGUGGGGAGCGAACCGG